RNAcentral lists this ribosomal RNA (885 nucleotides) under uncultured bacterium. Its description in RNAcentral is "bacterial SSU rRNA". It matches the Rfam family "Bacterial small subunit ribosomal RNA", at positions 60 to 953 of the family's 1533-position model. The record is from RNAcentral.
AGUCGACGGGAUCUGACCAGCUUGCUGGUUGGUGAGAGUGGCGAACGGGUGAGUAAUGCGUGACCAACCUGCCCCAUGCUCCAGAAUAGCUCUUGGAAACGGGUGGUAAUGCUGGAUGCUCCAACUUGACGCAUGUCUUGUUGGGAAAGUGUUUAGUGGCAUGGGAUGGGGUCGCGUCCUAUCAGCUUGUAGGCGGGGUAAUGGCCCACCUAGGCUUCGACGGGUAGCCGGCCUGAGAGGGCGGACGGCCACAUUGGGACUGAGAUACGGCCCAGACUCCUACGGGAGGCAGCAGUGGGGAAUAUUGCGCAAUGGGGGAAACCCUGACGCAGCGACGCCGCGUGCGGGAUGAAGGCCUUCGGGUUGUAAACCGCUUUUGAUUGGGAGCAAGCUUUCGGGUGAGUGUACCUUUCGAAUAAGCGCCGGCUAACUACGUGCCAGCAGCCGCGGUAAUACGUAGGGCGCAAGCGUUAUCCGGAAUUAUUGGGCGUAAAGAGCUUGUAGGCGGUUCGUCGCGUCUGGUGUGAAAGCCCAUCGCUUAACGGUGGGUCUGCGCCGGGUACGGGCGGGCUAGAGUGCAGUAGGGGAGACUGGAAUUCCCGGUGUAACGGUGGAAUGUGUAGAUAUCGGGAAGAACACCAAUGGCGAAGGCAGGUCUCUGGGCUGUUACUGACGCUGAGAAGCGAAAGCGUGGGGAGCGAACAGGAUUAGAUACCCUGGUAGUCCACGCCGUAAACGGUGGACGCUGGAUGUGGGGCCCAUUCCACGGGUUCCGUGUCGGAGCUAACGCGUUAAGCGUCCCGCCUGGGGAGUACGGCCGCAAGGCUAAAACUCAAAGAAAUUGACGGGGGCCCGCACAAGCGGCGGAGCAUGCGGAUUAAUUCG